GAGCAGUCAGUGACUAAUGAGGGGUGAGCGGCGUUGGACAGCGGUGGCGGUGACUAGUGAGUGGUGAGAGGCUGUAACACCCCCUACCUAUAUUCGUCGCCGGAAUAGGGUACGAGGCAUUACCGAAGUUUUCUGAAUGAAUUUUUCUGUCAUUACGAGUUAAAUACUAUUCUUUUAUUGAAACAUAUUAUGACGUCCCUUAGAUGGGUCUCCGAAGCCCAAAACAUACACCGAUAUCAAACCAAAUCAACCAAUUCAAUUCAAC
This 265-nucleotide long non-coding RNA is filed under the name Gossypium raimondii (Peruvian cotton). RNAcentral describes it as "long non-coding RNA (GRAI_LNC002935)". Lineage: Eukaryota; Viridiplantae; Streptophyta; Magnoliopsida; Malvales; Malvaceae. The record is from RNAcentral.